UAAUGGCAACGACGACAAUGGCAUGUUUAUGGGAAAAUGUUGAAAAUGAGAGUGGUUGAGACAUCCUGCAGUUGGCUUUGUUUCUUUAACAACCAUCUACUACCAGAGUCAGUGGUUCAGCUUCCUACUGCAUUACAGGACGGUUAGCCUUUUCCUUUGUCCGUUUUUUGCGAUGAUAUGAGUUGGCACAAGAAGAAUGCAAUAUCUAAACUCUACAGAUUGGAACAUCAUUUGUUGUGUUGUUUGGACAAUAUAUAGAAGAAAUUAUUUACAGUAGCAGUGAAGUUGACGAAAAGGUAUUUUGAGUACCCACAACCAUCAUUUUGUGGUGAAGAAUGAAUAUCAAAGAAGUUAAUUUUUUUAAAAGCUUAGACUCCAGACUGGGUUUUUAAUACCUUGUUAUCUUGCCACAACUUGCACAUCUCCUUUCUACUCCAUAUUAUUCUCCCCUCCACAGCCAAGAUAUAUUUGGCCCUGUUGCAUCUCUUUUGCGUUUCAGAACAGAUGAGGAGGCGGUUUGCAAUGUGAAUGACACAAGCAUAGGUAAAUAUCCAUUAAUCAUUUCCUUCCUGUUGAUCUACUUGCUGAUAAUGAAAUGUUGAGGGGGAGUUCUCUUUGUAACUUCUCUGCAGUGAUUCC
Papaver somniferum (opium poppy) is the source of this 639-nucleotide long non-coding RNA. RefSeq lists it as uncharacterized. NCBI's taxonomy places the organism in Eukaryota, Viridiplantae, Streptophyta, Magnoliopsida, Ranunculales, Papaveraceae. The transcript has 3 exons. The record is from RefSeq and is a predicted model, not a curated record.